RNAcentral lists this ribosomal RNA (772 nucleotides) under uncultured Neocallimastigales. Its description in RNAcentral is "partial large subunit ribosomal RNA". It matches the Rfam family "Eukaryotic large subunit ribosomal RNA", at positions 26 to 621 of the family's 3401-position model. The record is from RNAcentral. Lineage: Eukaryota; Fungi; Neocallimastigomycota; Neocallimastigomycetes; Neocallimastigales.
CGCAUCUGUGCAUGCAGCAUAUCAAUAGCGGAGGAAAAGAAACUAACAAGGAUUCCCUUAGUAACGGCGAGUGAAGCGGGAAGAGCUCAAAUUUGAAAUCUUCAAGGUUUUACCUUGACGAAUUGUAGUUUAAAGAAGUGUUUUCUGUUGAAGUUUUGGUAAAAGUUCUUUGGAAUAGGACAUCAUAGAGGGUGAGAAUCCCGUAUUUGACCAUUAUUUUCAGCUGUGUGAUACACUUUCAAAGAGUCGGAUUGUUUGGGAAUGCAGUCCAAAAUGGGUGGUAAAUUUCAUCUAAAGCUAAAUAUUGGCGAGAGACCGAUAGCGAACAAGUACCGUGAGGGAAAGAUGAAAAGAACUUUGAAAAGAGAGUUAAACAGUACGUGAAAUUGUCAAAAGGGAAGCGUUUGACACCAGUGUUGUUUUCUCGAAAAUCAAUUAAAAAGAGUUAGAUUUUGUUGUGUAUUGACCUUAACAGCUUGCAUUUCAAUUUUCUUGCUUUUUUUAAUGCACUUUUCGUUUAACAAGUCAACGUCAGUUUCUUUUGUUGUAAAAAGGUCAUUGGAAGGUGGCUUUCUUUCGGAGAAAGUGUUUAUAGCCUUUGACUCCUGCAAUCGGAGAGACUGAGGUCUGCAGCGUAGAUCCUUCGGGGUUAGAUACAUUUGUGCUAAGUUAUAGCUUUUUAUAGACAACUUGUUGACUAUGAUUAGUCUUGUAGCUUACUCGCUUAUGCUAUUUUACCUACGCUUAGGAUGUUGACACACGCGCGUGCUCG